This 393-nucleotide ribosomal RNA is filed under the name uncultured bacterium. Its description in RNAcentral is "partial 16S ribosomal RNA". It matches the Rfam family "Bacterial small subunit ribosomal RNA", at positions 523 to 918 of the family's 1533-position model. The record is from RNAcentral.
AUACGGAGGAUGCGAGCGUUAUCCGGAUUUAUUGGGUUUAAAGGGAGCGUAGGUGGGAUAUUAAGUCAGCUGUGAAAGUUUGGGGCUCAACCUUAAAAUUGCAGUUGAUACUGGUUUCCUUGAGUACGGUACAGGUGGGCGGAAUUCGUGGUGUCGCGGUGAAAUGCUUAGAUAUCACGAAGAACUCCGAUCGCGAAGGCAGCUCACCGGGCCGGAACUGACACUGAUGCUCGAAAGUGCGGGUAUCAAACAGGAUUAGAUACCCUGGUAGUCCGCACAGUAAACGAUGAAUACUCGCUGUUUGCGAUACACGGUAAGCGGCCAAGCGAAAGCGUUAAGUAUUCCACCUGGGGAGUACGCCGGCAACGGUGAAACUCAAAUGAAUUGGCGGGG